GACGAACGCUGGCGGCGUGCUUAACACAUGCAAGUCGAACGGAAAGGCCCUGCUUUUGUGGGGUGCUCGAGUGGCGAACGGGUGAGUAACACGUGAGUAACCUGCCCUUGACUUUGGGAUAACUUCAGGAAACUGGGGCUAAUACCGGAUAGGAGCUCCUGCUGCAUGGUGGGGGUUGGAAAGUUUCGGCGGUUGGGGAUGGACUCGCGGCUUAUCAGCUUGUUGGUGGGGUAGUGGCUUACCAAGGCUUUGACGGGUAGCCGGCCUGAGAGGGUGACCGGCCACAUUGGGCCUGAGAUACGGCCCAGUCUCCUACGGGAGGCAGAAGUGGGGAAUAUUGCACAAUGGGCGGAAGCCUGAUGCAGCAACGCCGCGUGCGGGAUGACGGCCUUCGGGUUGUAAACCGCUUUCGCCUGUGACGAAGCGUGAGUGACGGUAAUGGGUAAAGAAGCACCGGCUAACUACGUG
This 468-nucleotide ribosomal RNA is filed under the name uncultured bacterium. RNAcentral's name for it is "partial 16S ribosomal RNA". It matches the Rfam family "Bacterial small subunit ribosomal RNA", at positions 28 to 507 of the family's 1533-position model. The record is from RNAcentral.